This 324-nucleotide ribosomal RNA is filed under the name uncultured Acidobacteriota bacterium. RNAcentral's name for it is "bacterial SSU rRNA". It matches the Rfam family "Bacterial small subunit ribosomal RNA", at positions 28 to 351 of the family's 1533-position model. The record is from RNAcentral. Lineage: Bacteria; Pseudomonadati; Acidobacteriota.
AAUGAACGCUGGCGGCGUGCCUAACACAUGCAAGUCGGAUGUGCCCGCAAGGGUGCAUGGCAGACGGGUGAGUAACGCGUGGGGAACCUACCUCUUUGUGGGGAAUAACGUUCCGAAAGGAAUGGUAAUACCGCAUGAGACCAUCGGCUGGGAUGCUGGUGGUGAAACCCGGGGACCGCAAGGCCUGGGGCAAGGAGAGGGUCCUGCGUCUGAUUAGCUAGUUGGCGGGGUAACGGCCCACCAAGGCGUCGAUCAGUAGCCGGCCUGAGAGGGUGAUCGGCCACACUGGAACUGAGACACGGUCCAGACUCCUACGGGUGGCAG